UGAUCCUUCCGCGUAACACUUGCCGAAGCCUUAGCAGCCCGAAAGGGUGCCCCCCGCCGACUCUAAACAGAGAGGGGGCUCAAAUGCUAGUCCGCCCCGGUUCUCCGGGCGGGCGACACUAUCAAAUUGCGGGAACACCCUAAAGAUCUCAACACCAAGCGUCGCUGGAAACAGCGGCGUGGCCGAGCUAAUAGCCCUGGGUAUGGUAACAGCUUGAGAUAUGAUUUCCCUCGCGGGGAUGAAAUGGGCAAUCCGCAGCCAAGUCCUAAAGCGCCCCCGGGCGCCAUGGAUGCUGUUCACAGGCCAAAUGGUAGUGGGUGGUCGCUCCGGCGACUGCUUAAGAUAUGGUCGGGCCCCCUUGGAAACUUGGGGGGUAAGCUUACGCUGCUCAAAAAAACCGUUCCGUAGGUGAACCUGCGGAAGGAUCAUUAC
Molecule: unclassified non-coding RNA, 432 nt
Filed under: uncultured fungus
Lineage: Eukaryota; Fungi
Description: partial contains 18S rRNA, ITS1, 5.8S rRNA, ITS2 and 28S rRNA
Rfam family: Group I catalytic intron (bases 54-372)
About the family: Group I catalytic introns are large self-splicing ribozymes.
Source: RNAcentral